AAAUUGAAGAGUUUGAUCAUGGCUCAGAUUGAACGCUGGCGGCAGGCCUAACACAUGCAAGUCGAACGGUAACAGGAAGCAGCUUGCUGCUUAGCUGACGAGUGGCGGACGGGUGAGUAAUGUCUGGGAAACUGCCUGAUGGAGGGGGAUAACUACUGGAAACGGUAGCUAAUACCGCAUAACGUCGCAAGACCAAAGAGGGGGACCUUCGGGCCUCUUGCCAUCGGAUGUGCCCAGAUGGGAUUAGCUAGUAGGUGGGGUAA
Molecule: ribosomal RNA, 263 nt
Filed under: Escherichia coli
Lineage: Bacteria; Pseudomonadati; Pseudomonadota; Gammaproteobacteria; Enterobacterales; Enterobacteriaceae
Description: partial 16S ribosomal RNA
Rfam family: Bacterial small subunit ribosomal RNA
Source: RNAcentral